This 465-nucleotide ribosomal RNA is filed under the name Vreelandella stevensii. RNAcentral's name for it is "partial 16S ribosomal RNA". It matches the Rfam family "Bacterial small subunit ribosomal RNA", at positions 338 to 795 of the family's 1533-position model. Lineage: Bacteria; Pseudomonadati; Pseudomonadota; Gammaproteobacteria; Oceanospirillales; Halomonadaceae. The record is from RNAcentral.
CCUACGGGGGGCAGCAGUGGGGAAUAUUGGACAAUGGGCGAAAGCCUGAUCCAGCCAUGCCGCGUGUGUGAAGAAGGCCUUCGGGUUGUAAAGCACUUUCAGUGGGGAAGAAAGCCUUGGGGCUAAUACCCUCGAGGAAGGACAUCACCCACAGAAGAAGCACCGGCUAACUCCGUGCCAGCAGCCGCGGUAAUACGGAGGGUGCGAGCGUUAAUCGGAAUUACUGGGCGUAAAGCGCGCGUAGGCGGUCUGAUAAGCCGGUUGUGAAAGCCCCGGGCUCAACCUGGGAACGGCAUCCGGAACUGUCAGGCUAGAGGGCAGGAGAGGAAGGUAGAAUUCCCGGUGUAGCAGUGAAAUGCGUAGAGAUCGGGAGGAAUACCAGUGGCGAAGGCGGCCUUCUGGACUGACACUGACGCUGAGGUGCGAAAGCGUGGGUAGCAAACAGGAUUAGAUACCCCUGUAGUC